UACGUAGGUGGCAAGCGUUGUCCGGAUUUACUGGGCGUAAAGAGCGCGCAGGCGGUCGUUCAAGUCGCGUGUGAAAGCCCCCGGCUCAACUGGGGAGGGUCACGCGAUACUGAUCGACUCGAAGGCAGGAGAGGGUAGUGGAAUUCCCGGUGUAGUGGUGAAAUGCGUAGAUAUCAAGAGGAACACCUGAGGUGAAGACGGGUUGCUGGGCUGACACUGACGCUGAGGCGCGAAAGCUAGGGUAGCAAACGGG
This 253-nucleotide ribosomal RNA is filed under the name uncultured bacterium. RNAcentral's name for it is "partial 16S ribosomal RNA". It matches the Rfam family "Bacterial small subunit ribosomal RNA", at positions 524 to 776 of the family's 1533-position model. The record is from RNAcentral.